AGGCAAUCGUAUGUUCCAUAUUCUUCUUCACGCCAACACACUAGCGCGUGGGCCUCGGCCGCUGGCCCACCUGCUCACCUAACCUUAUCUCUUCCUCACGCUCACCAAGCCUUAUCUCUUCCUCACGAGACUCCUCAACCAUUCGUUCUCCACUGCCGCUCUAUCUAUGUGUCUCUCUCAAUCCAAUUCAAGCAUGGCGACUGCAAGCAAGGUCAGUUUUGCGAGUUCUUGGCCGCAUCGCUGGGUUGCAUGGGGUGGUGAUGCUGCAACACCAGGUGGGCGCCGACGGGCCUGAUGGUGGUGCGGGGGACGCACCCAUGGAUGCUGGCGAGAGCUACAACCAUGACGCUUCAACCGGUCUGUGAAAAGCUUCAACCUUGGAAAAAGCUUCAAUGGCCAUGGAAAGGAGAGCCUCAAUCCGGCAUGCCGGUCGACGGCAUGGGCGGUGCUGCACCGCCACCAAGCUACAUCCAUCACCACGCGGAGCUGCAUACUACAGAGGGCACAUCUAUUGCAUGAGUGGAGCCAGGGACGAGGGCGGCGACUGGUGAUGAGGACAGACGGCAAGGGCGCCGACCGGCGACCGGCGACGAGGACGUCGCGGUGGUGGUGGGGCCGCAGGGGGUGCAGAGCGUUGGCGGUGGUGGUGGGGCCGCGGGGGGGUAGAUCCACAUUUUCUUCGCAGGGGAGUGGGAGGGGGCGAGGCCGACUGCGAGGAGGACGAAGCUGGGGUCAGAUCUGACGGUUUUAAUUGCGCGUAUCGGGCGGCCAGGGCUGGACCGGCCCAACUGUUCCGCCGGUGCGCCGGCGCCUAGCGUCUCCCCUCUAUUAUUGGUUAAUUGUUAAUGUUUGCCUGGUGAAGGCCAAAAUUUCCGCUACGGGGCCAUACUAAUUCGUGUCGACUGUGUAAGUGUGUAUCAUCUGGAUCAGUUUCAGUUUGCUCACCGAAGCCUUUACCCGUCC
Triticum dicoccoides is the source of this 963-nucleotide long non-coding RNA. RefSeq lists it as uncharacterized. The transcript is spliced from 2 exons. The record is from RefSeq and is a predicted model, not a curated record. NCBI's taxonomy places the organism in Eukaryota, Viridiplantae, Streptophyta, Magnoliopsida, Poales, Poaceae.